AUAGUGGGGGAGUAGCCUUUCGAAAGGAAGAUUAAUACCGCAUAAGAUUGUAGUAUCGCAUGAUAUAGCAAUUAAAAGGAGCAAUCCGCUAUAAGAUGGACCCGCGUCGCAUUAGCUAGUUGGUGAGGUAAUGGCUCACCAAGGCGACGAUGCGUAGCCGACCUGAGAGGGUGAUCGGCCACAUUGGGACUGAGACACGGCCCAGACUCCUACGGGAGGAGCAUG
RNAcentral lists this ribosomal RNA (225 nucleotides) under uncultured bacterium. RNAcentral describes it as "partial 16S ribosomal RNA". It matches the Rfam family "Bacterial small subunit ribosomal RNA", at positions 133 to 348 of the family's 1533-position model. The record is from RNAcentral.